Molecule: small nucleolar RNA, 72 nt
Organism: Bison bison bison
Lineage: Eukaryota; Metazoa; Chordata; Mammalia; Artiodactyla; Bovidae
Source: Ensembl
UGGAUCAGUGAUGAUUACCCGUGGUGUAUGAGUCGUGUACGGUAAAUAUGUGUCUGAAACCCUGAGGCUUGU